This 616-nucleotide small RNA is filed under the name Pan troglodytes (chimpanzee). RNAcentral describes it as "processed transcript". Lineage: Eukaryota; Metazoa; Chordata; Mammalia; Primates; Hominidae. The record is from RNAcentral.
AUCCUCCAGUACAGUCAAGCUUUCAGAUGACUGCAGUCCCAGCAGAUACAUGACUCCAAUCUCAUCAGAGACCCAAGCCACAACCACUCAGCUAAGCCACUCCAAAACUAACCUACAGAAACUAUAAGAGACCUAAGGAGAAGACUGACCAGCUUCUUCUGAAGACUUCUGCCCUCUAAAGACUAAGGCCUAAUUCCACUGGUUUCUUUGAAUUCCGUGGUCCUAAGUCCAUUUUCAGACAAAGUUUCUGUGGAAAGACCUACGGACAAAGACAUCUCUCCUUGGCAGAGUGAGCUAGGAUUACCAGCUCUUCAGCCGCAGCUGAAGGCAGGAGUCCAUGGAACCCCAGAAGCUGCUGAUAAUUGGAUUUCUGCUAUGCUCUCUAACUUGCCUCUUGUUGGAGACAGUAGCUUCCUCUCCUUCGCCUUUGUCUGCCUUGGGAAUACAAGAAAAAACAGGAUCGAAACCACGCUCAGGGGGUGUGUUUGCUGUUAGGAUGAAUGUUUCUUUCUUCAUAGGACUUAAGAUUCAUGUUUCAGGUCAGGUAAAAUGAAUUUCAUGUUUAAAAAGAAUGUUCAUAGGAAAGCAAACUAUUCUGGUUUGGUUCAAUUUAGUU